AAUCACUACAGAUUGUCAUCACCAAAAUCCCAGACUAAAAGUUAUAGAAACACAAAACUUACUUACCAGCCGAAUAGAGAACUCGACAAACCAAAGGCACGAUUAAACGAUAGAUUCACAAAUAGAAUUGAAGAAGAAGAAGAACGAAACAACGAUUUACCGAAAAGAGAAAAAAAUGUCAGAAACGACAGAGAAACUUGAAGAAUAACGUUAGAGGAAAAUUUUGGAAAGAGAGAAAAGAUUUGAAAAGAAAGAAUAAAAAUAAAAAUGUAAUCAAAAUAAAACCCCGAUAACUCUCCACUAACAACAUAAUCUUAACUACCUCAGAAUCCCAACUCCAUGAAACUCUAAC
RNAcentral lists this long non-coding RNA (352 nucleotides) under Gossypium raimondii (Peruvian cotton). RNAcentral describes it as "long non-coding RNA (GRAI_LNC002083)". The record is from RNAcentral. Lineage: Eukaryota; Viridiplantae; Streptophyta; Magnoliopsida; Malvales; Malvaceae.